AGCCUGCAGAGACAUGAACCUGAGAUACGUGGACUACUUAAGUAUUACUUAGUGAGUAGAUUUCGUAAAACAUUCAUGACCUGGCUUUCUUGUGGUGUAGGUAGCUGGGCAGCGGACGCAUACACUAGCCGGUACAUUUAUUUGUCUUCAAAUGAAGUGUUCCUGCACUCCCCUAUGUGCUAUGCAUUUGGUAAAUCUUGAAAAUGUCCCUAUCCAUGUUAGAGCAAGUUAUUGUUUCUUCUAUCAGAAUAAUUGCCUAACAUAUUUUCUGUGUUAGUUUUGUCAUUAAUAGUAGAACAUGAUUCUCUUAGUACGUUUUCUAAAGGAAAAAUCUCCAACAUUUACUCAUAAUUUAUUAAAUGAUGGUGAUAUCCCUAUGUUGCCUACUUGCUUGGAUCGUUUUCUUCCCAAUUUCCUUUUGCUUUUCAGGCUCAAAUUAAACUACUUAUAUUUUUGGUUUACUUAUUUGUGCAUGUCACUUUGUUUUGAUGAUUCCACAUGUUUUUACUUGAGACUUUCUGGUGUCACAAUUUAUGCCAUUCAUGCAAAGGCUAGCAAACCUGUAUACAUAUACGGGUGUAAAUUUUUGUCUUUCAUCAUGCGGAUUCUUAAAUGACCUGAGAACUCGAGCUAGGGGCAGAUUUAUUAUUUUUAACCUCAAAUUGUCCUUAACGUCAUGACUCUCAAAUGCCCAAAGAACUCCAUCAUCAAAUUAUUUGGACAGUGUUUCGAUCCGAUCAUUAGCGUCAAAUUAUCCAUUGCUUAAUAAUGGUUAUACCUCUAUAAUUAUCUAGCACGUGUUGGGAUUCCUAUUUUCUCAUUUCGGUAUUUGAUAGCAUCAUUAAGCAGUUAUUGAAACCAUGGCAUUAUUGUCAGUUUUGCUUCUCUCAUAUGUUGACAAUAAGACUAACACGUUCAUCUAAAUCUUUCAGGUGUGGUGUUUAAUUGGGCUAUUACUGGAUUGGAACAUCUGAUUUGUACAUAUCUCCUCUUCAAUCCUUAUCAAAGAACUAGAUCUGUAAUUACUGGACCAAUUGGAAAGGAGUGUGCUGAUUUGUGGCCUAGGAUUGCUAGUGCAGCCAAUGUCAUUGUGUAAUAUCCAGAUUUUUCUUCAGGUGUCAGUGAGAAGUAGUAGUUUCAUGUUAUUUGUUAUUGAGAAGAAAAAGGGAGUUUUUUAAAAUAUGGAUCCAUAUUUGUAUUGGAUGUUUUUGUUUUCCCGUGACGUACAUGUAUUGGAAUUGAUAUUCUAGGAUC
Asparagus officinalis (garden asparagus) is the source of this 1254-nucleotide long non-coding RNA. RefSeq lists it as uncharacterized. The transcript is spliced from 2 exons. Lineage: Eukaryota; Viridiplantae; Streptophyta; Magnoliopsida; Asparagales; Asparagaceae. The record is from RefSeq and is a predicted model, not a curated record.